AUGCGUGAGCGUGCUAAGGUAGUGUAAUAGAUUAGCUUUUUAAUUGGAGGCCAGUGAAUGGCAAAACUAGGAACACCUUUAUUUUAUGUACCAAAAAAAUUUUUCAUCUAAGUGAAAAGACUUAGAUAACAAAGGAAGACGAAAAGACCCCGCGGAGCUUUAUCUUUUCUUAAACUUUCGUUUACCAACUUAAAUGUAUCAGAGGUUUGAUUGGGGCAAUCUUGGAACAAACAAAGCUUCCAGUGAUUAAAAAAUCCUAUCUAAAACUUAGUAAGGACCAAAAAGAAGCUACCCCGGGGAUAACAGCGUAAUCUAACUUAAGAGUACAUAUCGAAAGUUAGGUUUGCGACCUCGAUGUUGGCUUAAGGAUAUCCACAUUAGUGCAACCGCUAUGAUAGGAAAGUUUGUUCGACUAUUAUACCCUUACACGAGCUGAGUUAAGAACCGA
Molecule: ribosomal RNA, 448 nt
Filed under: Beringiana japonica
Lineage: Eukaryota; Metazoa; Mollusca; Bivalvia; Unionida; Unionidae
Description: partial 16S rRNA
Rfam family: Bacterial large subunit ribosomal RNA
Source: RNAcentral